AACUGGGGCAUUACAAAUGUAAUAAUAAAAAAAGAAAGAAGAGGGUGAAAAACAAAAUGAAAAAAGUCAAAAAUAAAAAAAAAAAAUUCAAAAAAAGAAAGAAAAUAAAAGGAAAAAUGAUACCCUCAAACCCCAAGUUGACUGAAGCUGAAUGGAUUCAGAGUCGUUACGACCAGUUGAAUUUGAUUAAAGAGAAGCGAUU
This 202-nucleotide long non-coding RNA is filed under the name Lathyrus oleraceus (garden pea). RNAcentral describes it as "Pisum sativum (pea) long non-coding RNA (PSAT_LNC039246)". The record is from RNAcentral. Lineage: Eukaryota; Viridiplantae; Streptophyta; Magnoliopsida; Fabales; Fabaceae.